Rattus norvegicus (Norway rat) is the source of this 6903-nucleotide long non-coding RNA. RefSeq lists it as uncharacterized. Lineage: Eukaryota; Metazoa; Chordata; Mammalia; Rodentia; Muridae. The record is from RefSeq and is a predicted model, not a curated record.
UCCAGAACUCCCUGUUGAGAUCUGGGGCACAGGUGUGCCCUCAUUUCCAGAUUGUAGUUCAUUCCAGAUGUAGUCAAGUUGACAGCCAGGAGUAGCUAUCACAAAGUACACCUGAAAGUUCUAGGGAAAAAAGGAAGAAGCAAACUCACAAAAGGGGAGUAAAAUGCAGGAAAUUAUAGAAACCGUGGCUGGAAUCAAUCAGUUAGAAAGAAAGAAAACAAUUCAAAGAAUCAACCAAACCAAGACCUGGUUCUUUGAGAAAAUCAACAAGAUAAACAAACCCUUAGCCAAACUAACUGAUAGAUAGAUAGAUAGAUAGAUAGAUAGAUAGAUAGAUAGAUAGAUACAUACAUACAUACAUACAUACAUACAUACAUAGAUACAUAGAUACAUAGAUAGGUAGAUACAUAGAUAGAUAGAUACAUAGAUAGACAGACAGACAGACAGAUAGAGAAUCCACAUUAACAAAACCAGUAAGGAGAAAGGAGGCUCAGCAACUGACACUGAGGGACUUCAUAGAAUCAGUAGAUUUUACUUCAAAAACUUCUACUCCACAAAAUUGGAAAAUCUGAACGGAAUGGAACCUUUUCUAGAUAGAUACCACUUACCAAAGUUAAAUCAAGUUCAGGUAAACCAUUUGAACAGCCCCACAAUCCUUGAAGAAGUAGUAGCAGUCAUUAAAAUCUCCCAACCAAAAAGGCACAGGGCCAGAUGGUUUUGUUAGAGAAUUCUACCAGAUUUUCUAAGGAAAGCUAAUUUCAAUACUCCUCAAAUUAUUCCAUAAAAUAAAAGCUGAAGGAACACUGCCAAAGUCAUUCAGAGAGGGCACAGUGACCGUGAUGUCUAAACUACACUAAGCCGCCACAAAGAAAGAGAACGUCAGACCAAUUCCUCUCAUGAACAUUGAUACCAAAAUACUCAAUAAAGUCCUCACAGACUGAAUCCAGGAACAUAUCAAAAAAUCAUCAGGAUGAAGGAAGCUUCAUCCCAUGCAUGCAUCGAUGAUUCCUUAUAUGAAAAUUCAUCAACACAACCCACGAUAUAGACAAACUGAGAGUAAACAUAUCACAUGGUUAUCUCAUUAGAUGCUAAAAAGAACUUUGAUAAAAACCCAACACCCCUUCAUGGUAAAAAUAUUAGAGAAAUCAGGGAUACAGGGCACAUAUGUAAACACAAUCAAAACAAUAUACAACAAGCCAAUAGCCAACAUCAAACUAAAGGGAGAGAAACUGUCAGGAACCACCCAGGGAGAGUGCAUCAGUAGGGGGCCAAGACUUGGAUUUUAGGUGGAGAAUGGAUUUGGCUUGACAGGCAGACACAAAUCUGAGAUAUGUGUUGUUGUAAAAAGUUUUAUUUUUUUGGCACAGACUUAUAUGGUCAAAACAGGAAUAUCAUACUUGGCGAUAUUUAUUACCCCAUCAGAUGUCUCUUGUACAAAAGGAAACUGAGCAUACAGUCUAGGAGUUUUUAGUCGCAGAUAAUAGUGUAGAAGACUGUGGUUAUAAUGUCGGACUUGUGGGCAUCAGAUGUACAUUCAAUACUUACCUUUGUUUGGAUAAAGUUUAAACUUUAUGUUUAUGGCCCCUCAGGAUAAUUUGGAAACUUUUGUAACCAUUUCAUGGUUUUCUUCAUUUCCUAUGGUCUUCUAAAAAGAUUAGACCACCUUCUCUUAGACAAAGCAAUCGUUCUAUACACAGCCUAUUGAUUCUCAAGCCUCUCUUCUUGUGAGAGCGCCCACCACAGAGGUCAAGUCCUCCUAAGUCUUUCCCAGUAACCAAGCUCAAUAUACUUUGUCUUCUUACUGUUUACCACUACUCACCUUGUCAAAUCUAUGUCAUAAGUCCCCAUCCGUGGGAAUGGUGCAUCUGUAGGUUUAUAAUAAUAAGGAUCUCUAUAUCUAGGGGCCUGCCACCAUUGUCCACUAAUUUUAAUAAACAAGACUCCAUUCUCCAGUUUAGUCUCUAACCCUAAUUUUUGUAAUUACUUUUUGUUCAAUGAUAGUUCUUCUUUUUCUUUUAGUUAAUUCUUGAUAACUUUGCUCAACUCGCUGAACCUGUCUUUCCAAAAAAGUCACUACUAUUCUGAAUCAUGCUAAACAAAACUUUUCCCAAAAAGGGGGAAAAGACUUUUUGGAACAGUCAUGCUCUUAAUAGCUUUAAUUAACUUCUCUCCUAUUUAUUGAGAACUAAUGGGUGCAGCAGUUGAUGGUGUGAGAUGUUUCCGUCUCUGGACUUGUAGUUCCUGGAACAUCUAAAGAUACAUGACCAUCUUUCCACACUGCUAUAUUCUUAGAUUUAGAUAUUGUUGACAGGCUUAAAGUUGUUGAGAUCACCAAGGCCAGAACAUAGAAGGUACCUCCACUGAAAGCAUAGACCCAGGUCAUCAUCUUUUUGUAGGGAGACUCCAGGACCUCCAGGAGGCCGAGCCAUUCCAGGCACAGGCCUCUGUUCUGGACAGAAACGAAACACUAAGAACUUCAUGUCACAAGACUCCACUGGAGUGGGUGUGGCAAGAAAUUUAAACCAUUUCCAUUAAAAUCAGGGAGGAGACAAGGCUGCCCACUCUGUCCCUAUCUCUUCAAUGAUAUAAUAGAGCUUCUACACAGAACAAUAACACAACUAAAAGAGAUCAAGAGGACACACAUAAAAGGAAGAAGUCAAAGCAUUGCUAUUUGUGGAUGACCCCCAAAAUUUGUAGAACUCCUACAGCUGAUAACAACUUAAGGAAAGUGUCUAGAUUCAAAAUUAACAAAAAACAAACAAACAAACAAACAAAAACCCAAAAGACCAGAAGCCCUCAUGAGAAAUAGGCCAAUGAAGAAAUUAGAGAAAUGUCACACUUUAAAAUAACCAGGAAUAAUAUAAAAUAUCUUGGUGUAAUUCUAAGCAACCAAGUAAAAGAUCUGUAUGACAAGAACCUCAAGUCCCAGAAGAAAGAACUUGAACACGAUAUCUGAAGAUGCAGAGAUCUCCCAUGCUCAUGGAGAUAUAGGAUUCACAUAGUGAAACUGGCCAUCUUACCAAAAGCAAUCUACACAUUCCAUGCAAUCCCCAUCAAAAUUCCAACAAAAUUCUUAUAGAACCUGAAAGAGCAAUUCUCAACUUCAUUUGGAAAAACAAAAAACCCAGGAUAGUCAAAAGAAUCCUGAACAAUAAAAGAAUUUUGGGAGGAAUCACCAUCCCUGACCUCAAUCUGUGCUACUGGGUAAUAGAGAUAAAACCCCACAGGGUAUAAGAAUUAAAGAACCAGAAAUAAACCACACAUCUAUGGACAUUGGGUAUUGAUAAAAAAGCCAAAACCAUUCAAUGGAAAACAAUCAAAGCAUCUACAAAAAAUGGUGUUGGCUAACUGGAUGUCCACCUGUAGAUGAAUGAAAAUAGAUCCAUAUUUGUUAUCCUGCACACAACUAUAGUCCAAGGACCUCAAUAUAAAAUUGGAUGCACUAAGUCUCAUAGAAGAGAUAGUGGGAAAUACCCUUGAAAGCAUUGCUACAGGAGACAAGUUCCUGAAUGGAAUACCAAGGACUCAGAAUCCAAGAUCAACAAUUGAUAAAUGGGACUUCAUGAAACUGAAAAGCUUUGUAAGGCAAAGGACACUGUCAAUAGAACAAAUCGGUAGCCCACAGAUUAGGAAAGGAUCUUCAACACUCUUCAUCUGACAGAGGGCUAACGUCAAAAAUGGAGAAGUAACAUAAGAAGUUAGACUCCAGCAACCCAAGUAAUUGAACAAAAAAUGUGGUACAGAACUAAACCGACAGUUAUCAACAGAGGAAUCUCCAAUGGUCCAGGUGAGCCUGGGAUGCAGGCACCCGUGGUCUCCACGUCCGGAUACAGCUUGUAAGAUUGAUUUCUGUGUUUCUCCAACUGACUCAAGUGGACAAAGUACCAGGAUUUUCCUGCCUUAGGCAAUCUCCGUACCGCUCAUCCUUACUGUAUCCUUCUUGUCUAACGACGGUUCCAGUCAUCCUGGAUGUGAAGAUGAAUCAGCUGGUCAUCUCCUGCUUCUGUGUAAGCGCGCAUCCAGAGGCUCAGCGUUUCUGGUCCUGGGUGGUGGGAAGUGCUUCAGCAGAGCCAGGGCAGAGACUUCUGGGCAGAGUGGAUUUGUGUGUGAAAAUAGACUUCUGAGUCUCUUGGGCUGAAUGUUUGGAAUGUACUGAGGUCUUUUAGCCUAGGCCUUAGCCUGUACACUUCUCCUACCAGAGCCCUGAUCUACAGUGCAGACUCUUCUUGGUGCUUCAAGGUCCACACAGUACCAGUUGGUCUGCAGAUCUUUUUCCGGCUAAUGGCUUCAAUAUGUCCUCUGUCGUGGCAAAGUUUGGGUUUGGUUCUAGGAAUGAUAGAAAUUUUAUUGUCUUCUCUGAGCUUUCUUAGAGAUUUUAGUCCCUGCCACUAUUUGUGUUGGGCUGGGUAAAGAAGAUGUUGUCAAUAGCAAUGAGGGUUCAGCCCUCUCUUCCCCGUGUAAAAUAUUUUUAAGUGCAGAGCUGGCUGGCUGCCAGGCUGUAGUUGGGAAAACUGAAACAAAAAAACCUCUUCAGGAGCCACAAACUAGGCUCUCCCUGGUGUGAGUACAGUUUAUGCCAAAGAACAAAGUUUGUGGUCGGUGAGAUUGAAAGGUGCUUUGAAUGAAUCAGUUAAACUAGCAAAAAGCCCAGACUUCUGCGGUCACAACCUAAAGAAACAGCCUUUGGCCUCUGCCUUCCUAGCUGGUCCCAGGAGAAAUUUCCUACCUGUGCGCCUCUUAGGGAAUCUCACCCCAGGCUUGUGGCAGCCUCUGUCUGGAAAAAUCUAUUCUGGCAGAGCACAGAGCUAGCUCAGCUCCUCCCUUCUUUCCUAGACUCAGCAGAGGAGGACCCUGUUCGCUAUGGUGCCAACAACUGUGAGCAGCAGCCAAGGCAGGGGAGCCUGGGGGUGCGGAUCCUCUCCAGGAGAUCUAACAGAACUGCAAGUCUUCUCCACCAGCAGAUGGCGACUGAUAGACCACGCUAGAACAAGCCUUGCUUCAAGACCGAGGUCUGCGCAUGCUCCUUGAACACCAGGCUGCGGGCUGUUCCAGAUGUAUGCUAGAGUAAACAGCAUUGCAUUACUUCCCCGGUGUCCUCAUUUGGGACCUGAACCUCUGGUUUCUUGCUUCCAGGACAGAAGGGAGGAGCCAAGCUGACAGGAUUGCUGUGUUCUCUGCAAGAAUCAGUUGCCCAAGAUGCAGCUGUCACCUGAUUAUAAAUCUCCUAACAUCUGGGGAGCAAGGCACAGGCCAUGGAUGAAGAUUUUCCCGGGUGGGGACACAAACAGGCUGAGCCUCUCCUGUUCUCCCUGGUCUAUCAACCUCACAGGCAGGUAACUGGCUCCACAGCACAAACAGCUUUCAGCAGGGGGAGGUAAAGAGAUAAGGGCGUCUUUCUCAAUUUCUCUGUUUCAGUUUCUCUGUGGUACACAGUUUAGGACAACUGUGCCUGCUUAGCGGCUUGGUGCGCUGGGGCAAGACCUUCUGCAGCCAGCUGGCUCUGCAUUUUAAAAGUCUCCCAGGCACUUAAAUCAGCCAAUCCUGGUUUGGCAACCACCACCCACCCUCCAAAAAUCACAAGCACGCUGGGGUUGGGGUGGGGAACAGUAUAAAUGUGUCAUUCCUAAAAACAGAAAGUAAAUGUUCCCACAGAAGAGGAAAUGGAGAGUCUGUCAGCAGCCAGGAAAAGGAAACCUAAGGCAGAUCAUGGCUGAGCAGAUGUAGAAGAGCCUAGACAAUUCAGUCACUGCAGGGUGAGGGCUGCUGGAUCACUGGGGAAGGUACUGGUCUGGCUUCUGAGUACUUGGGACAGGGCUCCCUGAGGAUGACCUCGUGCUGGUCCUGAUUGGACCUGGAUUUCCAGAGGACUGGAGUUCAUCUGCAUCCUGUCGGCCACAGUCAGGGAGUGGCUAAAAACACACAGACAAGCCCAGACACCACUGAGCUGCCUCCCUUCUAGCUGUGCUGGCCCUGGUCACCCUGACACCUUAAAACUGCCUGCAUUGAGCAAAGGGAAUUUCCCCUGCUGGCUCAGAAAUCUUGCAGAAACCUGGAGGCCCGGCUAAAGAGGACCUUGUGGCCAUUUACUGACAGAAAUCUGCCCCACCCAGAAGCAGCUGAUCUUGUUCUGAGACCAUAGCAGCGAGGAGCCUUUGAUCUCCAUCCUGGAUGAAUGUUAAUUCCAGAUAGAAGCCAUCCUUAGAUGGGAUGGGUGGUGGGUGUGUGGACGGCAGAUACAGAAAGGGGAUGACAGGAAGACCAACAGCAAUCCAGGCAGCAAAGCCUUGUAGUUGUCUGUAUGAGUCAGGACUACACAUAACGGGGCAAUCACACUCCGGGAUGCGUCCAGACCUGGAGACAUGUGGAACCCUCUGGUCAGGUUAUGGCUAUCCCUGCUCACCAAGUCUGGCAACUCAACAUCCAGCAGUGCCCUUGCACUAGUUAAGAAAAAGCAACUGAAUUUGCAAAAGGGAGCUGCAAUGUUGGCUGAAUGUAAGCAGCAGCAGAAUCAAUCCCAUCACUGCCAAGACACAGUUGCUGAUGCAGGAUUCUGAACUUCAGAGGAAACAAAGUAAUUCUCCCUGUGGAGACAUUGAACCUGUAGAGAUCAAAGAAGCUUUGAGGAGAGAAGGAGGCUGAGAGCAGAUUUGCACCAGGCCAUUCAGAAAGGGCAUCUUGAAGAGAACUCCUGGAGUUUGGUUGUAAAGCAAGGCCUGGAACCAGAAAUAACCUGAGAACUUGCUGGUGUUGCAGUCUUCCAAGAGCUGCAAGAAAUAUCCGGGUACCCAGAGGUGGUAGUGAAACUACAGCACCUCGAACACAUGCACCCUGAUUGUAAUUGAUAGCUAUAAGCAUGGAAGAUUUGUCAUUCUUUAUAAAUAUGUUGUUUCAUUCAUUCUUCCA